Molecule: ribosomal RNA, 253 nt
Filed under: uncultured bacterium
Lineage: Bacteria
Description: partial 16S ribosomal RNA
Rfam family: Bacterial small subunit ribosomal RNA
Source: RNAcentral
UACGGGGGGGGCAAGCGUUGUUCGGAAUUACUGGGCGUAAAGGGCUCGUAGGCGGCCAACUAAGUCGGAUGUGAAAUCCCCAGGCUCAACUUGGGAACUGCAUCCGAUACUGGAUGGCUUGAAUUCGGGAGAGGGAUGCAGAAUUCCAGGUGUAGCGGUGAAAUGCGUAGAUAUCGGGAGGAACACCAGUGGCGAAGGCGGCUUUCUGGGCCUUACCUGACGCUGAGACGCGAAAGCGUGGGGAGCGAACAGG